RNAcentral lists this ribosomal RNA (541 nucleotides) under Candida tropicalis. RNAcentral's name for it is "partial large subunit ribosomal RNA". It matches the Rfam family "Eukaryotic large subunit ribosomal RNA", at positions 52 to 599 of the family's 3401-position model. Lineage: Eukaryota; Fungi; Ascomycota; Pichiomycetes; Serinales; Debaryomycetaceae. The record is from RNAcentral.
GGAGGAAAAGAAACCAACAGGGAUUGCCUUAGUAGCGGCGAGUGAAGCGGCAAAAGCUCAAAUUUGAAAUCUGGCUCUUUCAGAGUCCGAGUUGUAAUUUGAAGAAGGUAUCUUUGGGUCUGGCUCUUGUCUAUGUUUCUUGGAACAGAACGUCACAGAGGGUGAGAAUCCCGUGCGAUGAGAUGAUCCAGGCCUAUGUAAAGUUCCUUCGAAGAGUCGAGUUGUUUGGGAAUGCAGCUCUAAGUGGGUGGUAAAUUCCAUCUAAAGCUAAAUAUUGGCGAGAGACCGAUAGCGAACAAGUACAGUGAUGGAAAGAUGAAAAGAACUUUGAAAAGAGAGUGAAAAAGUACGUGAAAUUGUUGAAAGGGAAGGGCUUGAGAUCAGACUUGGUAUUUUGUAUGUUACUUCUUCGGGGGUGGCCUCUACAGUUUAUCGGGCCAGCAUCAGUUUGGGCGGUAGGAGAAUUGCGUUGGAAUGUGGCACGGCUUCGGUUGUGUGUUAUAGCCUUCGUCGAUACUGCCAGCCUAGACUGAGGACUGCG